CCUUAGAGAAGGCAGAAAAGAAAGAAUCCAGCUGAGUUUGUGCUCCCACAAAUGAUUUGGUGCUAGCUGAUAUUCCAGCUAAGCUGCUGAUGAACAGCUUAAUUGCAUGAUGCCUUUUCUUUAUGCUGUCAUGAAAAAUGAAUAUGUUUCCUGAAAACUGCUUUCCUAGUUGAAGAGGUCAUCAACAGUUAAAAUGAGCUGAGAAGACACCAGAAGCCAUAAAUCAGAAAGCAACCACAUGUGUCUUUGUUAAUACACCUGGACUUUGUGAGGAAUAAAUGUUUUAGCAGGGGAAACUCUGCCACUCUGAACUGCAAAACCCCCCUUUCUUCUUCACCCCAAAGGAACAUUUGCAAGUGUUCAGACAGAAAUGAUUGAAUAGCUGAAACUGUACAAAUACCUGCUUGUCCUGGUAAGCCAGGCCAGCCGGGAGUUCCCUUUUCACCUGGAAAUCCAGGUGUCCCAGGGCUUCCUUGCUGCCCUGGGGGGCCAACCAGUCCUGGCAAACCUGUGUGGCAACAAUGAAUCAUUGGUCAUGAGCAUCCUUAAAACCAACAGCCCAAAACCCCAACUUGUGCUACUUUCAUUCCCCCAGGCAGCAAACUGAAGACUUUCCCUUCCUAAUGUCAUUGUAUGACACUGCACUGCUCAUCCAAGUGCAAGAAAACUAAAGAGAGCACAGGUAGGAGAGACAAACUCAUUACAAACUUCAGGUUUCUGACAACCUCAGAAAAGACAGUGGGCUCCUCCUAUUAAAAUGAUAAUUUGACUUCUAUUGCCAGUUACAAUAAGUGAUUUCAUUGCUGUGCAUGUUACUUUCCCCUUCUGCUGCACCUGUUUUGCCUUUCUGACUGAGAAGCUCAUCAGACAAGAACUGUUUCCCAGUGAGGCACCUAUCAAAACUCUUCCACUUUUGCCUGGAGUUUCUAAGCCCUCUAAUAAGGAGAAAUGUGGAACAACUGUUCUGAAAGAGCCUUUCCAUGAUCCUCCUGCAACAAGACAUGUUCUUAAGUCCUGAGUGUAUGAUCUGGCCUCAGCUGAACCUGACUUGGAUUCUCUUGUACAGUUGGCCAAUGAGCCUGGCUCGAAGGCUCUGUAACUGUGUCCUGGGGGAUACUGACUUCAUUUAUGGCAGAAAAGGUCAUUGAAAAGCCCACUCCUUGUAGUACUGAGACAACACUAGAAUACCUGAGUAUGCCAGCAAUACAACACUUUGACUGGACACGUGGUUGCUAUAAAGAAGCAAAAACUGGUAUGAAGCAGAGCUAGGUUUCUGCAAUUUUCUCUUAACUUCUGCUGUGAGUUCCACAUCCUUGUCACUGCUCUUCACCAACUUACAGAAUGAUGAACAUAUUAAAAAACAUAAUGACUUUCUUUUGA
Molecule: long non-coding RNA, 1380 nt
Organism: Corvus hawaiiensis (hawaiian crow)
Lineage: Eukaryota; Metazoa; Chordata; Aves; Passeriformes; Corvidae
Exons: 2
Source: RefSeq, a predicted model, not a curated record